UACGGAGGGUGCAAACGUUGCUCGGAAUCAUUGGGCGUAAAGCGCACGUAGGUGGCCUGUUAAGUCGGGUGUGAAAUCCCUGGGCUCAACCCAGGAAGUGCACUCGAAACUGGCGGGCUUGAGUACUGAAGAGGGUCGCGGAAUUCCCGGUGUAGAGGUGAAAUUCGUAGAGAUCAGGAAGAACAUCGGUGGCGAAGGCGCUCUGCUGGACCAUAACUGACACUCAGGGACGAAAGCUAGGGGAGCGAAUGGG
RNAcentral lists this ribosomal RNA (253 nucleotides) under uncultured bacterium. RNAcentral describes it as "partial 16S ribosomal RNA". It matches the Rfam family "Bacterial small subunit ribosomal RNA", at positions 524 to 776 of the family's 1533-position model. The record is from RNAcentral.